CCUACGGGUGGCAGCAGUGGGGAAUAUUGGACAAUGGGCGAAAGCCUGAUCCAGCCAUGCCGCGUGUGUGAAGAAGGCCUUCGGGUUGUAAAGCACUUUCAGUGGGGAAGAAAGCCUUGGGGCUAAUACCCUCGAGGAAGGACAUCACCCACAGAAGAAGCACCGGCUAACUCCGUGCCAGCAGCCGCGGUAAUACGGAGGGUGCGAGCGUUAAUCGGAAUUACUGGGCGUAAAGCGCGCGUAGGCGGUCUGAUAAGCCGGUUGUGAAAGCCCCGGGCUCAACCUGGGAACGGCAUCCGGAACUGUCAGGCUAGAGUGCAGGAGAGGAAGGUAGAAUUCCCGGUGUAGCGGUGAAAUGCGUAGAGAUCGGGAGGAAUACCAGUGGCGAAGGCGGCCUUCUGGACUGACACUGACGCUGAGGUGCGAAAGCGUGGGUAGCAAACAGGAUUAGAUACCCCAGUAGC
Molecule: ribosomal RNA, 464 nt
Filed under: Vreelandella stevensii
Lineage: Bacteria; Pseudomonadati; Pseudomonadota; Gammaproteobacteria; Oceanospirillales; Halomonadaceae
Description: partial 16S ribosomal RNA
Rfam family: Bacterial small subunit ribosomal RNA
Source: RNAcentral